Long non-coding RNA from Oncorhynchus tshawytscha (Chinook salmon), 1486 nucleotides. NCBI's taxonomy places the organism in Eukaryota, Metazoa, Chordata, Actinopteri, Salmoniformes, Salmonidae. The record is from Ensembl.
UGGCAGUACAGUGUUUAUACUCUACUAGGAACAUGUUAUAAAGAGUGUGUGCACUGCAUGGAGAGAGGGGAUCUGGCAGUACAGUGUUUAUACUUUACUAGGAACAUGUUAUAAAGAGUGUGUGCACUGCAUGGAGAGAGGGGAUCUGGCAGUACAGUGUUUAUACUCUACUAGGAACAUGUUAUAAAGAGUGUGUGCACUGCAUGGAGAGAGGGGAUCUGGCAGUACAGUGUUUAUACUCUACUAGGAACAUGUUAUAAAGAGUGUGUGCACUGCAUGGAGAGAGGGGAUCUGGCAGUACAGUGUUUAUACUCUACUCAUCACGAACGUGUUUGUGUGCAGUGUGUUACCAUCUCACACAAACACAGCAGAGCAGAAGAAACAGCGACCUAUUUUUCAUUACCCAUCGUAAGGUGGGACUCUUCUUACCUCACCUAGUCGUCACCUGACUUCUUUCAGCCUAUCAGGGAUUCUCAACUGUUUGACAACACAGAAGUUUCUUUUUUAAACCAAUUGUGAUUUUUCAGCUCUGGUAUUUGCUCAUGUUGACGAUGAUAUUGUUCACUGCUAAAGCUUUUCUUUCCAACGAGGGGUGAUGCUUUGUUAUUAACCUGGUCUGGAAGAUAGAACUGUCCACUGCAAGGUUUCUGCAGAUUUGGGUAUUAUAUAAAAAUCAUGGUUUGAUAUAUUAUAGUUUAAUAUGUUUUUUUUCUUGGUGGGUGGGAUUUGGGAGUGGGCGGGGUUUCUCUAGGUUGUGUUUGGGAAGAGCUAAUCGGUGAGGGAAAAAAAAAUAUCUACAGAAAAAACAGACUACUAUACUAUUUGUAAAGCAGAACUUGCCACUUUGCAUGAUGUGCUCAUAAUGUAUACUGUUUUUUUGUAGCAAACGUACAUGAAACCGAGAUGUGUUUCUGGCUGUGGGGGUAGGGGAUACUACAUUUGAACCUUUAUUUUACUAGGCACGUCAGUUUUAAGAACAAAUUCUUAUUCACAAUGACGUUCUACAUGGUGUUUUCCAUUCCCUCUGGCGUAUCAUUUGUAUUGCAGCAUUAUACAACUGGGCAUCCCGUGCACUGUGAUCCUGCCUAUAGCAGGCUAUGGAAGGCAUUGAUUCAAGGCAAUAUUCACAUGCAGGGUCGGCCCCAUUCAGUUCUGUUGUCAUUGGGUUAUUUAAAUUGAAUAAAGUAUAUAAAAUAAAACCUAGCUAGAAAUAUAUAUAUAUAUUUUUUUUAGGAAGAAAUAAAUAAACUAGGAAUAACUUCUUUGGACAAUAUAAUAAUGAUUAUGAGUAAACCAUCUUUAAAUUGACUAAAAUAAUGUUUCAGUUCAUCCCUUAUCCACCAUUUUGUUUGAAUCCGGGCGUCUCGGGAUGGUUUCCCCCUGUAUGACUGUAUUGAUAUACCAUUUCCACAAUAUUUGUGGACUACCUGAUAAUUAACUUAUCAUUUUUUGUGUUCCUAAAUAAAUAUCGUAUGUUGACCUUCAA